This 251-nucleotide ribosomal RNA is filed under the name uncultured bacterium. RNAcentral's name for it is "partial 16S ribosomal RNA". It matches the Rfam family "Bacterial small subunit ribosomal RNA", at positions 524 to 776 of the family's 1533-position model. The record is from RNAcentral.
UACAGAGGGUGCAAGCGUUAAUCGGAAUUACUGGGCGUAAAGCGUGCGUAGACGGUAGCGUAAGUCGGGUGUGAAAGCCCCGGGCUCAACCUGGGAAUUGCAUUCGAGACUGCUCUGCUAGGGUGCGGAAGAGGGAAGCGGAAUUUCCGGUGUAGCGGUGAAAUGCGUAGAUAUCGGAAGGAACACCAGUGGCGAAAGCGGCUUCCUGGUCCAGCACCGACGUCAGGCACGAAAGCGUGGGAGCAAACAGG